Molecule: long non-coding RNA, 374 nt
Filed under: Pogona vitticeps (central bearded dragon)
Lineage: Eukaryota; Metazoa; Chordata; Lepidosauria; Squamata; Agamidae
Description: lncRNA (ENSPVIG00000021292.1)
Source: RNAcentral
CAAGUGUAGUUCCUUCCUAAGGGAAUGUUUCCUGACAGAACAGGCAUGAUGUUGCAAAGUGAAAUUCAGGCAGGUGUGCCAACCAUCUUCAAUUUCUGGACACUGAACACCUGUGGGCCUACAGGACCAUACACUCCUGCUUGUAAAAAUUUCUAUUUCUGAAUAACAGUUAUCUAAUUUGUCAUGAUGGAGCUGUACUGGAAUGAAUCCUCUGAGGACUUCAUGCAAGGGAGCAGUUGCACGCUGACAUCUUGUGCAUCAUAAGCAGGUAAAAGAACUUCUGAACCUGUGUAUAAAUAUACCGUAAGUCUGUGUCCUUCCCAUUGAGGAUUGACAGUGGUAGAUUGUUUUUCCCAAAGAGAGCAUGCUCCACU